UACGUAGGGUGCAAGCGUUAAUCGGAAUUACUGGGCGUAAAGCGUGCGCAGGCGGUUUUGUAAGUCUGACGUGAAAUCCCCGGGCUUAACCUGGGAAUUGCGUUGGAGACUGCAAGGCUGGAGUCUGGCAGAGGGGGGGUAGAAUUCCACGUGUAGCAGUGAAAUGCGUAGAGAUGUGGAGGAACACCGAUGGCGAAGGCAGCCCCCUGGGGUCAAGACUGACGCUCAUGC
This 231-nucleotide ribosomal RNA is filed under the name uncultured bacterium. Its description in RNAcentral is "partial 16S ribosomal RNA". It matches the Rfam family "Bacterial small subunit ribosomal RNA", at positions 524 to 752 of the family's 1533-position model. The record is from RNAcentral.